UAGCUCAGUUGGUAGAACAUGGUGUUUGCAACACCAGGGUUGUGGGUUCGUUUCCCAC
This 58-nucleotide transfer RNA is filed under the name Salmo salar (Atlantic salmon). It matches the Rfam family "tRNA", at positions 8 to 63 of the family's 71-position model. From Rfam's summary of the family: Transfer RNA (tRNA) molecules are approximately 80 nucleotides in length. Their secondary structure includes four short double-helical elements and three loops (D, anti-codon, and T loops). Further hydrogen bonds mediate the characteristic L-shaped molecular structure. tRNAs have two regions of fundamental functional importance: the anti-codon, which is responsible for specific mRNA codon recognition, and the 3' end, to which the tRNAs corresponding amino acid is attached (by aminoacyl-tRNA synthetases). tRNAs cope with the degeneracy of the genetic code in two manners: having more than one tRNA (with a specific anti-codon) for a particular amino acid; and 'wobble' base-pairing, i.e. permitting non-standard base-pairing at the 3rd anti-codon position. The record is from Rfam by way of RNAcentral. Lineage: Eukaryota; Metazoa; Chordata; Actinopteri; Salmoniformes; Salmonidae.